GAUGAACGCUGGCGGCGUGCUUAACACAUGCAAGUCGAACGGAAAGGCCCAAGCUUGCUUGGGUACUCGAGUGGCGAACGGGUGAGUAACACGUGGGUGAUCUGCCCUGCACUUCGGGAUAAGCCUGGGAAACUGGGUCUAAUACCGGAUAGGACCACAUUUUGGAUGGUGUGGUGGAAAGUUUUUCGGUGUGGGAUGAGCUCGCGGCCUAUCAGCUUGUUGGUGGGGUAAUGGCCUACCAAGGCGUCGACGGGUAGUCGGCCCGAGAGGGUGUAAGGCCACGUUGGGACUGAAAUGCGGCCCAGACUCAUACGGGAGGCAGAAGUGGGGAAUAUUGCAGAAGGGGCGCAAGCCUGAUGCAGCGACGCCGCGGGGGGGAUGACGGGCUUCGGGUUGUAAACUCCUUUCGCUAGGGACGAAGCGUUAUGUGACGGUACCUGGAGAAGAAGCACCGGCUAACUACGUG
This 466-nucleotide ribosomal RNA is filed under the name uncultured bacterium. RNAcentral describes it as "partial 16S ribosomal RNA". It matches the Rfam family "Bacterial small subunit ribosomal RNA", at positions 28 to 507 of the family's 1533-position model. The record is from RNAcentral.